GACGAACGCUGGCGGCGUGCUUAACACAUGCAAGUCGAACGGAAAGGCCCUGCUUUUGUGGGGUGCUCGAGUGGCGAACGGGUGAGUAACACGUGAGUAACCUGCCCUUGACUUUGGGAUAACUUCAGGAAACUGGGCUAAUACCGGAUUAGGGCUCCCUCCUGCUUGUGGGGGUUGGGAAGGUUUCGGCGGUUGGGGAUGGACUCGCGGCUUAUCAGCUUGUUGGUGGGGUAGUGGCUUACCAAGGCUUUGGCGGGUAGCCGGCCUGAGAGGGUGACCGGCCACAUUGGGACUGAGAUACGGCCCAGACUCCUACGGGAGGCAGCAGUGGGGAAUAUUGCACAAUGGGCGGAAGCCUGAUGCAGCAACGCCGCGUGCGGGAUGACGGCCUUCGGGUUGUAAACCGCUUUCGCCUGUGACGAAGCGUGAGUGACGGUAAUGGGUAAAGAAGCACCGGCUAACUACGUG
Molecule: ribosomal RNA, 468 nt
Filed under: uncultured bacterium
Lineage: Bacteria
Description: partial 16S ribosomal RNA
Rfam family: Bacterial small subunit ribosomal RNA
Source: RNAcentral